Molecule: ribosomal RNA, 387 nt
Filed under: uncultured archaeon
Lineage: Archaea
Description: bacterial SSU rRNA
Rfam family: Archaeal small subunit ribosomal RNA
Source: RNAcentral
UGCUAUCAGAGUGGGACUAAGCCAUGCGAGUCGACACAGCAAUGUGUGGCAUACGGCUCAGUAACACGUAGUCAACAUGCCCAGGGGACGUGGAUAACCUCGGGAAACUGAGGAUAAACCGCGAUAGGUCACUACUUCUGGAAUGGGUAAUGACCCAAACCUAUAUGGCCCCUGGAUUGGACUGCGGCCGAUCAGGCUGUUGGUGCGGUAAUGGCCCACCAAACCUGUAACCGGUACGGGUCUGAGAGGAGGAGCCCGGAGAUGGGCACUGAGACAAGGGCCCAGGCCCUAUGGGGCGCAGCAGGCGCGAAACCUCUGCAAUAGGCGAAAGCUUGACAGGGUUAUNCUGAGUGUUUCCGUUAAAGGAGUCUUUCGGCACCUCUAAAA